CAGCUGCUUAGAAAAUGACUCAUUGGUCUCUCUCCUCAUUGCCUGUCAUCCGACUGAUGAAACCUCCAGUUGGGAAUAAAAUGAUCAAAGGGGCUGAAGUGGAGCGGACUGCGACUGUGUGGACACGACCACACCUGCGUGUUUCAAAGCUUCUCAACCUGCUGAAUGAAGAACAAAUGGGGACUUGGCUUUAAGGCUGUUGGAAAAUUCCAGAUGCCAAAUGAUGGUGGUUUGGACUGGAGCUGGAGCUAGAUAGAGACAGUUGGGAAGAACCCACCCCUGUAGAAAAGGUCACUUGGGUAUAUAUCUACUGCACUGCUGAUAACCAAGGAAAGGCUUACAGAGCAAGGUGCAGGUACAACAUGCAUGCUGCAUUUUUUACGGUACAUCUGUUAGGGGCUGAAAUGCCCUAACUCCCAAUACCUCCAAAUUGGACUGCAUCUGGAGACAGGCUCUUUAAAGAAAUGAUUGAGUCAGCAUAAGGUCCUUAGGGUGGGCCCUCAUCCAAUCUUCCUAAUAGCAAGAGUAAACUUAAACACAGAGAGACACCAGGGGCACACAUGCACAGAGGGAAAACCACGCCAAGAGCCUCCAAGAAGACAGCCAUCUACAAGCCAGGGAGAGAGGUCUCAGAUGAAACCCCCCUCCCCCAACCCUCACCGCACUGGCACCUUGAUCUUAACCUUCCAGCCUCCAGAACUGAUCAAAUAAAUGUCUUUUGUUUAAGCCAC
This 731-nucleotide long non-coding RNA is filed under the name Homo sapiens (human). RNAcentral describes it as "HSALNT0215420". The record is from RNAcentral. Lineage: Eukaryota; Metazoa; Chordata; Mammalia; Primates; Hominidae.